GAUGAACGCUGGCGGCGUGCUUAACACAUGCAAGUCGAACGGUGAAGGCGGAGCUUGCUCUGCUGGAUCAGUGGCGAACGGGUGAGUAACACGUGAGCAAUCUGCCCCUGACUCUGGGAUAAGCGCUGGAAACGGCGUCUAAUACUGGAUACGAGCUGCGAAGGCAUCUUCAGCAGCUGGAAAGAAUUUCGGUCAGGGAUGAGCUCGCGGCCUACCAGCUUGUUGGUGAGGUAAUGGCUCACCAAGGCGUCGACGGGUAGCCGGCCUGAGAGGGUGACCGGCCACACUGGGACUGAGACACGGCCCAGACUCCUACGGGAGGCAGCAGUGGGGAAUAUUGCACAAUGGGCGAAAGCCUGAUGCAGCAACGCCGCGUGAGGGACGACGGCCUUCGGGUUGUAAACCUCUUUUAGCAGGGAAGAAGCGAAAGUGACGGUACCUGCAGAAAAAGCGCCGGCUAACUACGUG
RNAcentral lists this ribosomal RNA (468 nucleotides) under uncultured bacterium. RNAcentral describes it as "partial 16S ribosomal RNA". It matches the Rfam family "Bacterial small subunit ribosomal RNA", at positions 28 to 507 of the family's 1533-position model. The record is from RNAcentral.